This is a long non-coding RNA of Marmota monax (woodchuck), 553 nucleotides long. RefSeq lists it as uncharacterized. The record is from RefSeq and is a predicted model, not a curated record. Lineage: Eukaryota; Metazoa; Chordata; Mammalia; Rodentia; Sciuridae. The transcript has 3 exons.
ACCCCAGGUGAGCCAAUCAGGAGCCUCUCCUCCCAGCCUUGGUGAUUCUUCAGGGUUGGUGGUGACUGGGGAGCCACACCAGGGUGGCAAACCUAGGAUAAAAAGCCGACGGGAAAGAGUGGUUCGGUGCCACUGGGUCCCUGGAAGCCUUAAGUGAUGUGGGCAUAACUGAGAGGAGCCACAUAGAGUUCGGUGCCCAAACAUAUAACCCCAAAGACACAGCUGGCAACUUUGAGACCCUUGAGUGUGGGCAGCCACAUUGAGUUACCCGCCUUCCAGUCCUGAGGCACCUCGGAGACCUGAAAGAUGACUGCAGUCUGGCACCUCCAGACUCUUUUCUGCUCGGACAGCAAGGCCAAGUCUUCUGAGCAGGCAGACCCUGGGAUGUCAGUCAACCUGCUGACAGCAGACAUCAAGAAGCUAGACUCAGCCCCCUGAAACCUGACCCCUGGCCUCAUUUGAGUGGCUUCAAUAAAAGGGUUCAGCACUUGCUCUCUCUUUCCACGGAUCCCUAAGGUCAGAGGAGCCGUCACAGGACCCAAAGAAAAAGGUA